This 464-nucleotide ribosomal RNA is filed under the name Vreelandella stevensii. Its description in RNAcentral is "partial 16S ribosomal RNA". It matches the Rfam family "Bacterial small subunit ribosomal RNA", at positions 338 to 795 of the family's 1533-position model. The record is from RNAcentral. Lineage: Bacteria; Pseudomonadati; Pseudomonadota; Gammaproteobacteria; Oceanospirillales; Halomonadaceae.
CCUACGGGUGGCAGCAGUGGGGAAUAUUGGACAAUGGGCGAAAGCCUGAUCCAGCCAUGCCGCGUGUGUGAAGAAGGCCUUCGGGUUGUAAAGCACUUUCAGUGGGGAAGAAAGCCUUGGGGCUAAUACCCUCGAGGAAGGACAUCACCCACAGAAGAAGCACCGGCUAACUCCGUGCCAGCAGCCGCGGUAAUACGGAGGGUGCGAGCGUUAAUCGGAAUUACUGGGCGUAAAGCGCGCGUAGGCGGUCUGAUAAGCCGGUUGUGAAAGCCCCGGGCUCAACCUGGGAACGGCAUCCGGAACUGUCAGGCUAGAGUGCAGGAGAGGAAGGUAGAAUUCCCGGUGUAGCGGUGAAAUGCGUAGAGAUCGGGAGGAAUACCAGUGGCGAAGGCGGCCUUCUGGACUGACACUGACGCUGAGGUGCGAAAGCGUGGGUAGCAAACAGGAUUAAUACCCCGGUAGUC